Molecule: non-coding RNA, 45 nt
Filed under: Schistosoma mattheei
Lineage: Eukaryota; Metazoa; Platyhelminthes; Trematoda; Strigeidida; Schistosomatidae
Source: RNAcentral
AUCCAGCUGACGAGUCCCGACCAGGACGAAACGUGUGUCCUGAAA